This is a small nucleolar RNA of Mercurialis annua (annual mercury), 102 nucleotides long. NCBI's taxonomy places the organism in Eukaryota, Viridiplantae, Streptophyta, Magnoliopsida, Malpighiales, Euphorbiaceae. The record is from RefSeq and is a predicted model, not a curated record.
UAUUUCUGCAAGGAUGAUAAAUACAUAAUCCCAGCUCUAUGAGACCUUUUUUUGUAAAAGGUCUGGGAAUUGAAAUAUGUUCACAUUUAUCUGAGCUUAAUU